RNAcentral lists this ribosomal RNA (800 nucleotides) under uncultured bacterium. Its description in RNAcentral is "bacterial SSU rRNA". It matches the Rfam family "Bacterial small subunit ribosomal RNA", at positions 8 to 841 of the family's 1533-position model. The record is from RNAcentral.
AGAGUUUGAUCCUGGCUCAGAAUCAACGCUGGCGGCGUGCCUAACACAUGCAAGUCGAACGAGAAAGUCCGCAAGGAUGAGUACAGUGGCGACCGGGUGAGUAACACGUGACUAACCUGCCUCCGAGUGGGGAAUAACUCCGGGAAACCGGAGCUAAUACCGCAUAACAUCGCAAGAUCAAAGCAGCAAUGCGCUUGGAGAGGGGGUCGCGGCUGAUUAGCUAGUUGGUAGGGUAACGGCCUACCAAGGCUGAGAUCGGUAUCCGGCCUGAGAGGGCGCACGGACACACUGGAACUGAAACACGGUCCAGACUCCUACGGGAGGCAGCAGUGGGGAAUUUUGCGCAAUGGGGGAAACCCUGACGCAGCAACGCCGCGUGGAGGAUGAAGUCCCUUGGGAUGUAAACUCCUUUCGACCCGGACGAUACUGACGGUACGGGUGGAAGAAGCACCGGCUAACUCUGUGCCAGCAGCCGCGGUAAUACAGAGGGUGCGAGCGUUGUUCGGAAUUAUUGGGCGUAAAGGGCGCGUAGGCGGCGCGGUAAGUCACCUGUGAAAUCUCCUGGCUCAACUGGGAGCUUGCAGGCGAAACUGCCGUGCUGGAGUGUGGGAGAGGUGCGUGGAAUUCCUGGUGUAGCGGUGAAAUGCGUAGAUAUCAGGAGGAACACCUGUGGCGAAGGCGGCGCACUGGACCACAACUGACGCUGAGGCGCGAAAGCUAGGGGAGCAAACAGGAUUAGAUACCCUGGUAGUCCUAGCCCUAAACUAUGGAUGCUUGGUGUGAUCGGUACCCAAUCCGAU